Polypterus senegalus (gray bichir) is the source of this 342-nucleotide long non-coding RNA. RefSeq lists it as uncharacterized. NCBI's taxonomy places the organism in Eukaryota, Metazoa, Chordata, Cladistia, Polypteriformes, Polypteridae. The transcript has 3 exons. The record is from RefSeq and is a predicted model, not a curated record.
AGAAAAUGUUUUCAGUUGCAGUAGUGGCCUUUGAGGCACACACUAUUUAGAUGAAUACUAAUUGUGUUGGAGUCUUUCUCAGUUUUUUUUUUCUCACAAGGUUUCAGGAAAUGGAUCAUAAACAUGAACAUGAGCAGGAGUGCAACAGACCAGCACAGAAUACUUCAUUGGAUCCUACCUGAACACACGCAUCCUACCACCCAAUUUCUCAAUUUUAUCUGGACUGCCAGAAGGAGGUGGAGGGAGAUGUGAAGCUAGCUGUGUACUGAUAACUACUAAGUAGCACCACCCUGACCUGUUAUAGUUGUGAUUUCCUCUGUGAGUUUUCUGUAUGAAGUGAAU